Molecule: ribosomal RNA, 254 nt
Filed under: uncultured bacterium
Lineage: Bacteria
Description: partial 16S ribosomal RNA
Rfam family: Bacterial small subunit ribosomal RNA
Source: RNAcentral
CACAUAGGGUGCGAGCGUUGUCCGGAAUUAUUGGGCGUAAAGAGCUCGUAGGCGGUGUGUCGCGUCGGCCGUGAAAACCUGCAGCUUAACUGUGGGCUUGCGGUCGAUACGGGCAUCACUGGAGUUCGGCAGGGGAGACUGGAAUUCCUGGUGUAGCGGUGAAAUGCGUAGAUAUCAGGAGGAACACCGAUGGCGAAGGCAGGUCUCUGGGCUGACACUGACGCUCAUGCACGAAAGCGUGGGGAGCAAACAGG